AAGAAGAAUUGAGCAUUGACUACCGAAAAAUAAUGUAAGAUUGUUGCAAAUGUCCUCUUCGAUAUCAUACCAUAGCAGUUAUUUUCCCUAAAUUUUGGUAUGAUGAACAAUUUGUUAAUAAUAUGUCGUCGAACAAUUAUGUACCUUUUUUCUUUGAUGACGUUAUUGAUUGGAUAUAUGUUUAGAUUUCUUCGAUAAAAGAGAGCAAAUCAGAUUACAAGAGAUUCUCCAUGAUUACAGGGACUUUUGAGCCAGAGAGAUGUGAUGGCCGUGGGACAUGGAUGGAAACAUUACACACAAUGAUAGAUGUCAAGCUAUGAACUUAUGCACCUGUGGUGAUUGUUGUCUCAACAGAUAAGUUGAGUUGUUGGUUGUUGGAAGAGAGAGUGAAUGAGGCUGUAAAUUCUCAGCUCCGCAGAACGAAUGGUGCUUCUAAUUGACACCUUCAAUUCCGUCAUGUAGAGGUAAAUAUAAAGGUUCAUAACGAACAUGUUGUUGUUGGAUUUUGUAAUAUUCUUCAGUUAACUGUUUUUUCAUUGGAGAUUUGAAUUUUUUAUUAUUUUUGGGGUUUUGUUAAAAUGGGUAUUUAAAAGUUCAUAAAUGUCUAUAGUGGUAUCAGGAAGAGCAUUUUAAUAUUGUUUCCCCUAUCAUGUUUGAUAUAGUUCAUACUUUUUGAAUUUUAGUUCAUUUAUUAAUGUUUCUGUUCAUAGCAAAUUGAUUGAACAUACUUCUUGCUUUCUAGAUUAUUAUUCACUUUAUUUUUGUUGGAAAUUCUCUUCAUGGUCUUCAUCUUUCCUUAAUUGUUGCUAAUCAAGUUGCAAUGAAAUCUAUGAUAAUACAGGGUGCUACAAGUACUUUUACAAAGAUCUGUCACCAUUUCAUGUCUUAAUUUUAUUGGCAUGGAGAUUAAAACCUACCAAAUUCGUUGGUUACGUUAUGCAAGAGUUGUGUUCUUUAAUUAAAUCAGGUUUGAGAUAGUUCAUACUUUUCGUUUAUUUUUUUUCCUUACAUUUUGUUCAUCUUCUUUCAUCUCAACCUGAUUAAAAAUUCCAUCUUUGCAUUAAUGUUUCAAUCGUUCAAAACAGAUACAAUAUC
RNAcentral lists this long non-coding RNA (1095 nucleotides) under Aquilegia coerulea. Its description in RNAcentral is "long non-coding RNA (ACOE_LNC000447)". Lineage: Eukaryota; Viridiplantae; Streptophyta; Magnoliopsida; Ranunculales; Ranunculaceae. The record is from RNAcentral.